RNAcentral lists this long non-coding RNA (1413 nucleotides) under Sus scrofa (pig). RNAcentral describes it as "lncRNA (ENSSSCG00065052269.1)". Lineage: Eukaryota; Metazoa; Chordata; Mammalia; Artiodactyla; Suidae. The record is from RNAcentral.
AAGUUUUAAAAGGCCAUUUUUUCCUGAGGCUGAUUUCUGAUUAAAUAAUCAAAAUAUUUUCUGCUGUUUUUGCCAGGAGUCACAAAGAUGAUUAAAGGGUUGGAAAAAAAGAUCUAUGAUGAAAAAGUAAAGGAACUGGGAUUAUUCAGCGUGGAGAAGAGAAGACUGAGGGGCAAACCAUUGCUGGUUUUCAAGUAUAUGAAGGGGCUCCAGGAUGCAGAAACCUGAAAGCAACUUGGAACUAUAGCAGAGGUUAGUGCCAAGUUAAUUAUUUGGAGUUAAUUCCCUAAAAGUUAAAAAUUGAGCCUUCACUCAUAACCUGGUAAUUUUGAAGAGCAUAGAGUUCUAUUCUGUUCCACCGUUUCAGGCAUAUCUGCAUUUUCCAGACCAAGCCCCCUCAGGUGUACUGGAUCUGCUUGUGGAUGAGUCUUUUCAGUUGUGUUGAAUUAUCUAAAGUUACAGUUCCCAACUGGGGGUGAUUUUGACCCUCGGACAUUUGGUAAUGCCUAGAAAUAUUUCAGUUGUUGCAACUCAGGGGUGCUACUGGCAUCUACUGGGUAGAGGGCAGAUAGGUUGUUAAAUGGCCUAUACAGCACAGGACAGGACAGGACAGCUCCAUUCAACAUAGAAUUAUCUGGCCUACAAUGGCAACAAUGCCAAAGAUGCAAAAGCCUGAUCUAAAUCAGUGAUUCUAAAUCAACAAUUUCCAAAGAGUGCGCCCCAAUCGUGCAGCACCGGUACUGCAGGGCUUGGGCUCCACAUCUGACCUGCAGAGUUAGAAGCUCUGGAGGUGGGGCCCAGCCACCUGUGGUAUAACAAGGUGUAGAGCUGAUUCAGAUAAUGUUGGAUUGAGAUUAAGUUUCCUUACUAACUCCUGCUUUCUGCUGACUAUCUAGACGAGUGACUUACGGGGAACUCAUCCUCCGUGCCUUACUAUCAGUACUCAACUCUUAACUUUAUCACUGUUCUACCAAAAAUGAUUUUUUCAAAGGUAACUUGUGAUCUUGUAUGUGGUUUCACUGUUCAACCCACAUGGAUCAUCGCACCUGCGGCAUUUAGCAACAGUAAUCGCUGCUCCCACUUCCCUGAAAUCCUCUGCUUCCUUGGCCUCCAAAAACUACACUCCUACCUUUCCAGCCAAUUACUGGAAAAAUCCAAGGAGCCUCAAACUUACCAAGUCCCAAACUGCAUGAUUUAUAAUUUAUUAUUCCUCCCCUUUUUCUCUCCCCCAAACCUUCUCCUCCUUGCUAAUUCCCUCCUUUUCUGAAUAAACGCAAUACCCUAUCAAAGUCAUUAAUCCUUGAAAUCGGGCAUUGCUUUUUUUUUUUAACUUAUUUCUAUUAAGUCACUGACAAAUUCAGAUUGUUCUGUCUCUGAAACAGUGCUUCUGACUCUGUCCCACACGAAAAAAAA